GAAGGUAUAGCUUGGUGGCAGAGUGUGUGCUUAGCAUGCCAGAGGUCCGGGGUUCAAUCCCCAGUACCUUUA
This 72-nucleotide transfer RNA is filed under the name Camelus bactrianus (Bactrian camel). It matches the Rfam family "tRNA". From Rfam's summary of the family: Transfer RNA (tRNA) molecules are approximately 80 nucleotides in length. Their secondary structure includes four short double-helical elements and three loops (D, anti-codon, and T loops). The record is from Rfam by way of RNAcentral. Lineage: Eukaryota; Metazoa; Chordata; Mammalia; Artiodactyla; Camelidae. RNAcentral also lists the same sequence under 2 other names.